This 429-nucleotide ribosomal RNA is filed under the name uncultured archaeon. Its description in RNAcentral is "bacterial SSU rRNA". It matches the Rfam family "Archaeal small subunit ribosomal RNA", at positions 474 to 903 of the family's 1478-position model. The record is from RNAcentral.
UACCAGCUCUCCGAGUGGUGUGGAUGUUUAUUGGGCCUAAAGCAUCCGUAGCUGGCUGGACAAGUCCCCUGUUAAAUCCACCGAUUUAAUCGUUGGAGUGCGGGGGAUACUGUUCGGCUAGGGGACGGGAGAGGCCAGACGGUAUUUUCGGGGUAGGGGUGAAAUCCUAUAAUCCCGGGAAGACCACCAGUGGCGAAGGCUGUCUGCUAGAACGCGCCCGACGGUGAGGGAUGGAAAGCUGGGGGAGCGAACCGGAUUAGAUACCCGGGUAGUCCUAGCUGUAAACGAUGCAGGCUAGGUGUUUGGGCGGCCACGCGCCGCUCUAGUGCCGCAGGGGAAGCCGUUAAGCCUGCCGCCUGGGGAUACGGCCGCAAGGCUGAAACUUAAGGAAUUGGCGGGGAGCACCACAAGGCGUGAAGCUUGCGGUUC